GAGUUUGAUCCUGGCUCAGAUUGAACGCUGGCGGCAUGCCUUACACAUGCAAGUCGAACGGCAGCGCGGGAGCAAUCCUGGCGGCGAGUGGCGAGCGGGUGAGUAAUACAUCGGAACGUGCCCAAUCGUGGGGGAUAACGCAGCGAAAGCUGUGCUAAUACCGCAUACGAUCUACGGAUGAAAGCAGGGGAUCGCAAGACCUUGCGCGAAUGGAGCGGCCGAUGGCAGAUUAGGUAGUUGGUGAGGUAAAGGCUCACCAAGCCUUCGAUCUGUAGCUGGUCUGAGAGGACGACCAGCCACACUGGGACUGAGACACGGCCCAGACUCCUACGGGAGGCAGCAGUGGGGAAUUUUGGACAAUGAGCGAAAGCCUGAUCCAGCCAUGCCGCGUGCAGGAUGAAGGCCUUCGGGUUGUAAACUGCUUUUGUACGGAACGAAACGGUCUUCUCUAAUAAAGAGGGCUAAUGACGGUACCGUAAGAAUAAGCACCGGCUAACUACGUGCCAGCAGCCGCGGUAAUACG
This 523-nucleotide ribosomal RNA is filed under the name uncultured eubacterium WR199. Its description in RNAcentral is "bacterial SSU rRNA". It matches the Rfam family "Bacterial small subunit ribosomal RNA", at positions 9 to 527 of the family's 1533-position model. The record is from RNAcentral.